AUUGAACGCUGGCGGCAUGCCUUACACAUGCAAGUCGAACGGUAACGGGCCUUCGGGUGCCGACGAGUGGCGAACGGGUGAGUAAUACAUCGGAACGUGCCCGAUCGUGGGGGAUAACGAGGCGAAAGCUUUGCUAAUACCGCAUACGAUCUACGGAUGAAAGCAGGGGACCGCAAGGCCUUGCGCGGACGGAGCGGCCGAUGGCAGAUUAGGUAGUUGGUGGUAUAAAAGCUUACCAAGCCGACGAUCUGUAGCUGGUCUGAGAGGAUGAUCAGCCACACUGGGACUGAGACACGGCCCAGACUCCUACGGGAGGCAGCAGUGGGGAAUUUUGGACAAUGGGCGCAAGCCUGAUCCAGCCAUGCCGCGUGCAGGAUGAAGGCCUUCGGGUUGUAAACUGCUUUUGUACGGAACGAAAAGCCUUCUUUUAAUACAGGAGGGUCAUGACGGUACCGUAAGAAUAAGCACCGGCUAACUACGUG
Molecule: ribosomal RNA, 482 nt
Filed under: uncultured bacterium
Lineage: Bacteria
Description: partial 16S ribosomal RNA
Rfam family: Bacterial small subunit ribosomal RNA
Source: RNAcentral